CCGCGGCUUCAGUGGACCUCCCGCAGGCAUGCCUGCGGAGGUCCGCUGGUCCCACGGCUUAUGCUUGGGGCGGCAAAAUCCCUAGAGCCGCCCCUGGGUGAAAGGGGGAUGAGGAAGUGCAGUGACUGACAUCAGAUAGUGAAUUGGGGACCUCCAAAGCUAAAAGCAUGAAUUUCCACAGUUUGACCUAACCAACCAGGCCCUGUAGCAGACUCCUGUCCUCUGUGGAUCAAGGCACAGGGGAUACAUAACACACUAGUGAGUGAGAUUUCUUUGUUUCCCUGCAGAAAAAAAACUUUCUGACAAGGAGCCGCAAGAGUGGUCAAGCACCCCUCUCCAACAGUACUGGCACAUUAUUUCAGGCUCCCGGAGCAGCCAGCAAAGAGCAGGACACCCCAAGACACCCUUGAUCUCCCUGCCUAUCACAUUCAUUGCACCUGAAGAGGCAAAGGAAGCAGCUUUUGGAUUCUGGGCAAGGGGUCCUGACCUGAAGAGUUUGGUCAGUAAGACUGCUGAAAGCAUGUGAGACUGUCCGGAUUGGCCAAUGUACAUAGCAGAAGGGCAUUGCUGGCACAUGACAGAUUUAAGUGAAGAUGGAGUGAGGAUUUAACAGUCUGCAAAUAUCUGAAAGGUGACAACAGCAAGGAGGGAAAUGGACAAUUUAUGGUGGUAAACAGGAUUGCAGCUGGAAGGAAAGGGAUAGAAUUAACAGCAGGACAGUUAUAUCAGGGAUACAUCUCACUCACAGAAAGUUAUUAGGCUGUGCACUUGCCUCCUAAGGGAAAGGAUGGAAAGCCCUAUUACUUGGGAUGUUAAAAACUAGUGGAGAAACCAUUAUUAAUUUUACAAUAGGUUACAAUUCUGCAUUGGUGCCUAGAGGAAGGGAUAGACUAAAUGACCUAAAAGUGCUUUUCUGUCUCUAACAAUCUUAUUGUUAUUGUAGAGAAAAAUACUGUAAAAUAACCCUGAAAAAGGUCAUUGAGCUCCUGGCUACUCUUUGUCAUGCUAGGGAGUGGACAUGCUGGGGGUGAAUUACAACUUCACCCAUCUUUUGUUUAAAAAGGAAAAUAAAAACUCUUCUCUCCCCGCCCCCCAAGUUAUUGUUUCUAGUGGCUAAAUCCUGAUAUUACCAAACCUGUUGAAUGUGCAUUUGGUAGAUUGAGGGGGUGCUGGAGAAGUCUAAUAAGAAGGCUUGAUUUCUUGGGCUAAAUAUUCCUAUUGUUGUUGCUUCAUGUUGUAUCUUACAUGAUAUUUGUAAAGUAAACAGGGAGAUUUUACCAGACUGUUGGCUGAUUUUGAACAGCCAGACACAAGUGAGGUGCUAUACAGCUGAGGGAGGCCUUGGGAGCACAUUUUGACAGAGCACCAUAAUUGCAUAAUGUGCUGGUUUGUUUUUAUGUGUCACAUCAUGAUAAAACUGUAAUGUGCUUGUGUAUGAACCAUAACUGAAUUGCCAGCAUACUCUAUGAAUCUUCAGAGGGAAUACUGAUUUGGGGGGCUGUUUUGUGAAUCAACAGAAGUACAUUUUAGAGAUCCACUAGGAGCAAUAAAAAGACUUUAAAAAACCA
Molecule: long non-coding RNA, 1568 nt
Organism: Mauremys reevesii (Reeves's turtle)
Lineage: Eukaryota; Metazoa; Chordata; Testudines; Geoemydidae
Exons: 4
Source: RefSeq, a predicted model, not a curated record